RNAcentral lists this ribosomal RNA (253 nucleotides) under uncultured bacterium. RNAcentral's name for it is "partial 16S ribosomal RNA". It matches the Rfam family "Bacterial small subunit ribosomal RNA", at positions 524 to 776 of the family's 1533-position model. The record is from RNAcentral.
GACGUAGGGCGCGAGCGUUGUCCGGAUUUAUUGGGCGUAAAGAGCUCGUAGGCGGUUUGUCGCGUCUGCUGUGAAAACCUAGGGCUUAACCCUGGGCCUGCAGUGGGUACGGGCAGACUAGAGUGCGGUAGGGGAGACUGGAAUUCCUGGUGUAGCGGUGAAAUGCGCAGAUAUCAGGAGGAACACCGGUGGCGAAGGCGGGUCUCUGGGCCGAUACUGACGCUGAGGAGCGAAAGCGUGGGGAGCGAACAGG